AGCUCCAAUAGCGUAUAUUAAUGUUGUUGCAGUUAAAAAGCUCGUAGUUGGAUUCCUGGCUCGAGGCAGCCGGUCCGCCUUGCAAAAGGUGCGCACUGUGCGGCCCCGGCCAUCCUUUGGAAAAGCGGCCCUGGCAUUCAGUUGUCGGGGUCGGGCUUCCAAACGUUUACUGUGAAAAAAUCAGAGUGUUCAAAGCAGGCUUACGCCUUGAAUACAUUAGCAUGGAAUAAUGAGAUAAGACUUUGGCGGUCUAUUUUGUUGGUUUGCACGCCGAAGUAAUGAUUAACAGGGACGGUUGGGGUUCUUCGUAUUCAAUUGUCAGAGGUGAAAUUCUUGGAUUUAUGGAAGACGAACUGCUGCGAAAGCGUCGAACAAGGACGUUCUCA
RNAcentral lists this ribosomal RNA (386 nucleotides) under uncultured eukaryote. RNAcentral's name for it is "SSU rRNA". It matches the Rfam family "Eukaryotic small subunit ribosomal RNA", at positions 587 to 972 of the family's 1831-position model. The record is from RNAcentral.